Molecule: long non-coding RNA, 1199 nt
Organism: Antechinus flavipes (yellow-footed antechinus)
Lineage: Eukaryota; Metazoa; Chordata; Mammalia; Dasyuromorphia; Dasyuridae
Exons: 3
Source: RefSeq, a predicted model, not a curated record
UUAUGGUCAGAACUGAUCUGCAUGAUUUUGUUCAACUCUGAAUUAGAAAAUGGAGAAACUACUAUGAAUGCAGUAGAGGACAAUCAGAAUUUUGAAAUGACAGGAGAAUGUGCCAUAUAAUAUUUUAUUGAUGGAUUGGGGAUGUUUAGCUCUGGAGAAACUUGUGGUGCUUGAGAUGGGGUAUGAAUCAUAACAUCCUCCCAAAAGGCAAUGAAUCCUGAUUCUGACACAAGCUAUGUAUCUGCAAACAAGUGACAACUUCUGAGCCUUAGUUUCUUAACAUAUAAAAUAGGGAUAGCAUUUUCUAUACAGAGUCAAAGAACUGAGAGAGCCACGAAGCAACAACCAAAUAAGGCUGCAGCUGAAGCCAUAAUCACCACCGCAACCACACUCCCAGUAAAGAUGACCAAGAAUAUCAGGCUGGGUCCAACCAGAGCCAGUUGCCCAGGAAAAUCAGGGAACCACAAUUGAUUCCCUUUCUUCUGCCAUCCCUGGAGGCCAUUCCGAUAUUCUGUUGUAACAAGAGUACAAAAACAAGACUCCAUCACAUAACGUGUGUGUGCAUAUGUAACUGUGUGUGAGAGACAAAGAGAGAAAGACAAAUAGAGACAGAGAUUCAGAGAAAGACAAACAGAAACUGUAGCAGGACCUUUCUGAGAUAAAAGUUGUUGCCUGUGUAACCAUUUGAGGACUUUUGAAGAUAUUUGAGGAUUCAGAAGAAUCUCCCUGAUUGAAAAUCUCUCUUCUAACAGCUUGACAAACUCCUGCCAUUUCACCAUAUCAAUUCAUUUUCACUUGUGCCAUUAAUUUCACAGUAUUAAAGUAUUGGGUCUUUAAAAAUAUUAAUAUUCCCUAGAAAGGUUACUCUUUAUCAUAGGCAGCUGUAGGAAAUUUUUUUCUAUUACCUCCUUCCUCCUGGACCCUCCCCAACAAAAAGAUAUCAUUCAUGAAUAAGUCAAAAGUAAAAAUUGAGAAGGGGUAGCUGAUGUAGAGCAGGACUUCUUAAACUUUUUCUACUUGAGACCUUUUCUUGCCUGAGAAAUUUUUACAUGACCCCAAGUAUAUAGGUAUAUAAAAUAGGUAUACAAAUAAAACAAUUAUUGAUAAUGAAUUAUAAUAGAAAUUUAUUUUAAAAUGAUUUUUGGUACACAUAUAAUUUUCCCACUUAUUAAAGACAAAAGAAAUUUGCAUACUAAUGU